UCUAGAAAUGACAGAAAGUGCUGUUAAGCGCACCUUUCUUUUUUUCAGCAACACACGUUUGUUGCUGAGACACAUAUUUAACCACCAGCAACAUUUGAAGGCGGGCGGAUUUGAAAGAGCGGACUUGGGUAACGCGUAAACAAAAUGGUGGCAAACCGAAAGAGUGUGAAAAAGAUUGAUUGACGAAGGAAAUAUAAUCAAAAAGAUGGAUUGAAGGACACAAAGGGGGUGGUAAUCACCCCCUAUGAGUUCCGGAAACGCCGUAGAUUGUGAGAAGCGUCUCAUCAUAUUUCUGAGAAUGUAUUCCAGUAAUGUCAAUGCGCUGUUUCAUUGUUGACAUAUUUUGUUGCGAUAACUCUGUCCCUUCUUCAUUCCAACUGGAAUGAAUCGAUGGAUUAUAUGUACAUACAUUAAUUUUAAUCAGUUGAUUAUUUCAACAUUAUUUCAUUUCAUCCUUCUUGAGCUGUUCAGCACAGAGAAAUCCACGGUUUUCUUAUAUAAUCAGUUGCAUUUUGGAUUGUGUUGAGAGAAGUACUAGCAAUGCAAUGUUCCAUUGUUUUCAUAUUAUUUGCGAUAACCUUUGGGAGAUCCAUGUCACAGCAUUGUGAGGUGGAUGGAUCUCAAAACGAGUGCGGCGGAUGCGGCAAAUGGACAAAAAGUUAGAGACUCUAGGAAGAGAGUUGGCGAUCCAGCAGGAAUUGGAAAAGAGCUCACAGUCCGCAGAUACUCUCAAACAACUGGCCAAAAUUGACGAAAAGUGAGAGGCAGGAUCAGGAAGACAGUUGAUGAUCCAGCAGGAACUGGAAAAGAGCUCCAAAGAGCUAGCUAUUAAAAAUCGCACAAAACGACGAAAAAUUAGAGGUUCUAAGAAGACAGUUCGCAAUUCAGCUGGAGUUGGAAAAGAGCUCGCAGAUGAGACUUCAAAGAUUAGAGCUUUUCGAAAAAAUACGGUCCAAUUAUUAUUACAUUGAAACAAAUAGUAAAAUGAACUGGAAAGAUGCAUUGGAUAAAUGCCAUAAGAUGGGGGCUCACUUACUGAAUCUGGAAAGCAUGGAUGAGAUGAAGGCACUCGGCAGAAUGCUGAAUAAGACCCAGAGGUAUUGGAUAGAUCUGAACGAUAUAAAAAAGGAAGGAGAGUUUAUUUCGGCCACUACUGGCUUGCCGGGAACGUUUUUCACUGGCAGGAAAACGAACCCAAUAACAAGGAAAACUCUGAAAAUUACGUCGAGCUAAUUACCGCCGAAUUUUGGAUGAACGACCAAUCAUGAAAUUACGAAAAUUACUUUAUUUGUGAGACACCUUGGGAUUCACUGUAACCUAUAUGACUAUAUGAUGAUUCAGAUUAUAUUACAAGUUGUGUGAAACGUGCAACUGAAUACAAAUUUUAAGAACGUUUACUCCUUUCAAAACUAGUGUGCCACUUAAUUACUUAGUUGAGCUGAAAAUCCCGGCGGUACUGCAAUACAGCGCCAGCCCGCGAUAGAGAGGUGAAAGCCGCUAGCAUUCCGUCUGAUUCCAAAAAAUCAGUUUAACAAUUGUUGUUCUCCAAGGGAGAAACCAUCAAAUGUUAAGCUAAUAAAAAACAUUUCUUGUCCAUUAGGCCGAGAAGCAAUGACUGAGCUGGCAAAACCAUUUGUUUUUCUUGCUCUACGUGUGAACGUCAAUCAAGAUUAUUGCAAAUUUUAAAAACACACCCAAAGAGCGUGGGCGGCAGUUUUGCGAAAAGUCUGUGCAUGACUAAAGCAAAAUGAAAUCAUAAAUCGAAGAUUGUAGUCGUGGGGUAUAUUCUAUAAACGAAGCGGUACAAACUCUAUUAUAUCUAUUAAAAACUAUACCAAAAUUAGUGGCAAAGCUAUGAUCACUUCGGGGAUUGUUUGGAUUCUUAAGAUGAGGAACCAGAAAGCAAUUCAAUUUAUUUUGGUAUGAAAGCAGAUCGGUUUAUUGUUGAUUUGGUGUUGAAAACCAGCUUAAUAUUUUGUUCACGUUUCUUCCGCAUUUUCUAAAUUGGAAAAGUACUGUGGUGGCCAUAACAUUAAUAACAAUAAACGAUUAAUUGAGAAAUGU
Drosophila pseudoobscura is the source of this 2064-nucleotide long non-coding RNA. RefSeq lists it as uncharacterized. The transcript is spliced from 2 exons. NCBI's taxonomy places the organism in Eukaryota, Metazoa, Arthropoda, Insecta, Diptera, Drosophilidae. The record is from RefSeq and is a predicted model, not a curated record.